UACGUAGGGGGCGAGCGUUGUCCGGAUUUAUUGGGCGUAAAGAGCUCGUAGGCGGUUUGGUAAGUUGGAUGUGAAAUCUCCAGGCUCAACUUGGAGGGGUCAUUCGAUACUGCCAUGACUAGAGUUCGGUAGGGGAGUGUGGAAUUCCUGGUGUAGCGGUGAAAUGCGCAGAUAUCAGGAGGAACACCGGUGGCGAAGGCGGGUCUCUGGGCCGUAACUGACGCUGAGGAGCGAAAGCGUGGGGAGCGAAUGGG
This 254-nucleotide ribosomal RNA is filed under the name uncultured bacterium. RNAcentral describes it as "partial 16S ribosomal RNA". It matches the Rfam family "Bacterial small subunit ribosomal RNA", at positions 524 to 776 of the family's 1533-position model. The record is from RNAcentral.